This 407-nucleotide ribosomal RNA is filed under the name uncultured bacterium. RNAcentral's name for it is "partial 16S ribosomal RNA". It matches the Rfam family "Bacterial small subunit ribosomal RNA", at positions 30 to 526 of the family's 1533-position model. The record is from RNAcentral.
AUCGAACGCUGGCGGCAGGCCUAACACAUGCAAGUCGAGCGGAGCGGCGGACGGGUGAGUAAUGCCUAGGAAGCUGCCUGGUAGUGGGGGAUAACGUCCGGAAAGGGGCGCUAAUACCGCAUACUCUCAGAGCGGCCUAGGUUGGAUGAGCUAGUUGGUGGGGUAAAGGCCUACCAAGGCGACGAUCAGUAACGGGUCUGAGAGGAUGAUCAGGCACACUGGAGCUUGGACACGGCCCAGACUCCUACGGGAGGCAGCAGUGGGGAAUCUUGGGCAAUGGGCGAAAGCCUGAUCCAGCCAUGCCGCGUGUGUGAAGAAGGUCUUCGGAUUGUAAAGCUCUUUAAGUUGGGAGGCGUUAUCUACAGAAUAAGCACCGGCUAACUUCGUGCCAGCAGCCGCGGUAAUUC